RNAcentral lists this ribosomal RNA (520 nucleotides) under uncultured Glomus. Its description in RNAcentral is "SSU rRNA". It matches the Rfam family "Eukaryotic small subunit ribosomal RNA", at positions 569 to 1090 of the family's 1831-position model. The record is from RNAcentral. Lineage: Eukaryota; Fungi; Glomeromycota; Glomeromycetes; Glomerales; Glomeraceae.
AGCAGCCGCGGUAAUUCCAGCUCCAAUAGCGUAUAUUAAAGUUGUUGCAGUUAAAAAGCUCGUAGUUGAAUUUCGGGGUCAGUAGGUUGGUCGUGCCACUGGUAUGCACUGGUCUCACUGAUUCCUCCUUCCUGAUGAACCGUAAUGCCAUUAAUUUGGUGUUGCGGGGAAUCUGGACUGUUACUUUGAAAAAAUUAGAGUGUUUAAAGCAGGCUAACGCUUGAAUACAUUAGCAUGGAAUAAUGAAAUAGGACGAUCGAUCCUAUUUUGUUGGUUUCUAGGAUUGACGUAAUGAUUAAUAGGGAUAGUUGGGGGCAUUAGUAUUCAAUUGUCAGAGGUGAAAUUCUUGGAUUUAUUGAAGACUAACUACUGCGAAAGCAUUUGCCAAGGAUGUUUUCAUUAAUCAAGAACGAAAGUUAGGGGAUCGAAGACGAUCAGAUACCGUCGUAGUCUUAACCAUAAACUAUGCCGACUAGGGAUCGGGUGAUGUUAAUUUUUUAAUGACUCAUUCGGCGCCUUA